UCGUUGUCUGAUCACCUAAAGCCCAAAGACUCUCUGAAUGACUAGGCACAUUUCAUGCGAGAAAUCAAGGACUCUUGGAAGAUGGAACAGAUUUCAGUGACAAUUUGGCACCAAGAAGUAAUCAGUAAAAGAGUAAGGUAUCAGACAACCCUGACUUACAUGACAGGCAGCCAGCUAGUAUAUAAAUCAUAAAGAAAUGCCCACUGAAACCGCUUUUGCUUGCCAGAGGCAAGAUCGGCUGUCACUAAAUGAUGCUGGCAGGGGCGACCUGCAGCCCACGGAGCCUUUGCUUGCAGCCACCCUCCGAAGGAAACCUCACCAUCCGGUAGCUGCAGGGUCUCUGGAGCAGCACCCGGGCAGGGAGCAGGAGCUGGGCUUUCGGGUGGCCAGAGCUGUGGGGCAGCCAGACCCCAAGUGGCUCGGCCCCUCGCAGAGCUGCCUGUGCCCGGAGAGUCCUGCUGCUGGAUAGUCGGGAUCCCAGCUCUCCCCUUCCUCUCAGUCUUCUGCGUGGCAGCAAGAAGCUACUCAGGGGUCUGCUCUCAAGCGCCUCAUUGCUGUGCUCAAGAUUGCUGAUGCCCAAAGCUGCAGGGAGAGAGCACGGUGCCAGCAGGGAAAGCACCCAGCCCCGCCAGGGUGGCUGUGGCCAGCAGACAACGUUCGCGGGGGCAGAGGCUCCCUGACCUUGCGAAGGAGAAACACAUCAUAAGCAGCCAAGGCCACAGGAGAGGGAAAAGCCCCUUUGGCCUUCUCCUCUCCUUCCCCUGGCCAACUUGCACUUGCUUGGGCGGGAAAAGGGGAAGCCACCGUCCCCACCAGCAGCACUGCCUAAAUGCAAAGCCAGGUGUGAGGUGCAACUAAGACGAGGACUCCAGCCCUCCUUGCAGGAAGAGAUCCCUGCCCGACAGGCCACAUGUGCAAGGCAGAGGCCGCAGCAAUGGGGGGGCUCUGAGCAACACGUGAGGCUGGGGCAAGACGGGCAACACGAACUUUGUAAGGAAUGUUAAUCAAGCAGCUAUCGUAAGUAUUUGAGUUUAGGCAAACGUUGUUUGGGCUAGUGCAAAAGGACUUUAAAUACCUACAUUUCAUUGUCUCUGCAUAAGCAACACCAUAGUCACAGUUUCAUUUUACACUUUUACUGCUAAGCUAUGUGCUGGUCGUACAGUAUGCAACACUUGCCCAUCUGCACUUUCCCCCAUACGCACACAUAAUCACCUGUCUCGCUACAUCAUUCCCACUGAGGCCUUAUCUAGUGUUUAUAAGCAUCACUAAGAAUAGAGUACAGUACAUUUCCUCGAAUGCAUGUGUGUGCCGGUUUUCUAUCAUCUGUUUCUCUGCCCGAAAGGCUUCUGAGAUAGCCUGCCUUUGAUCCUGAAAACCCUCUAAGCUCUCAUUUAGCAUUAACAGCGAUACACUUAUCUUGGAUGGGAACAGGAAAACCUUAAAUACCCCACUGGCUAAAGCUUGUCUACCAGCCAUUUUUUAUCACAUAUUUUGCAGCUCUUAUUGUCUGGAAAAAUGGAGAAAACUAACCUUUUGCACAGAAUAUCCAAGACAGAGAAGCACAACAAAGCUACCAGAAUUGGUGGAAGUGAGACCAUUUAGGGUGCAGUUUUGCAAGACAUUUCCAGCUGAUCCAACAGCUCACUGCUGCCAAAAAUGGGAUGUUCUGCUUUCUCGCCAUUACCUCUUCUUCCGGCUGCUGCCUCCCCACUUCCACCACUUACCUUAUGCGGGUUCUGGCAGUCUUCAGAUCGCUCUGGGAACAGAGAGAUCCCAACGACCCCACAGGAAAAUUAACCUAGCCAAAGAGUGGAGCGUUUCUGCCAGAUUGGCACGUUGAAUCUGCUCAGAGAGGCCCCAGAAGUACGCGAGCUGGCACUACAGAGGACGUGGGGCUACGCAGCCAGGAGUGGGGAGCAGGGAGAGGAAGAGGGGGGAGCAAGACCUCCUCUCAGCGGCAGCUAGCCAUGGCGUAGGCCGAGCUGUUUGUGAAACCACAGUCCAAGGAGAUCUAGGCCACUUCCUACAGCUUCACAAAGGAAAUGUCCAUACAUAACUUCAGGGAACGGGGAAUCAUUAUUUUGUAUCUGUAGAUCAUCCUGCCUCAAAAUAGCACCAUGUUUAAUUAUCAUAAUAAAUAAGAUGGACUAUUUACAAA
Long non-coding RNA from Dromaius novaehollandiae (emu), 2158 nucleotides. RefSeq lists it as uncharacterized. The record is from RefSeq and is a predicted model, not a curated record. The transcript has 2 exons. Lineage: Eukaryota; Metazoa; Chordata; Aves; Casuariiformes; Dromaiidae.